GAGGUUGUGGCUCAGUGGAAGAGCACUUGCCUAUCACACAUGAGGCAUUGGGUUCAAUUCUCAGCACCACA
Molecule: transfer RNA, 71 nt
Filed under: Marmota monax (woodchuck)
Lineage: Eukaryota; Metazoa; Chordata; Mammalia; Rodentia; Sciuridae
Description: tRNA.Asp
Rfam family: tRNA
About the family: Transfer RNA (tRNA) molecules are approximately 80 nucleotides in length.
Source: RNAcentral